CCUUGGUGCGUGAGACGGGUAUGGAGGUCGGAGGCGUGGCGGCACUGAGCUAGGUUAACCAGCGGCAGAGAUGUGAGAAACGAUGCCUGUCCCUGAUGACACUGCCUUGGUGACUCGCAGAAUAACAUAUUACGGCAGCAGCGUACCGUGACCCUGCACGGAUGGUUCCUCCGUCCCUCGGCUGACCCCGCGGCGUCCUCCGCGUCCGUCUCAGUCCCCCAUGGGCCUCCUUCCUGUCCCGGGUGCGUUUGAGCAGCACUGCCCUGGGCCUUUUCCGUUGGAAUCCAGAUGGAGGGAAAUGGACCAACUCUUCUCUCUGCCCAGAAGUCCCAGGCCGCCAUCAGUGCUGGCCUGCUCUGCUCCAGAAGUGGUGGCCAGAGCGGCCUCGACUGUCUCCGAGAGCAGCUGAGAUCUCGGAGGACAAAGAGCCGGCUGAGCUGACAGCUGUUUCCCGCCACCAAAGCCCCCAGGCUGGCAGCUUCUCCCAUUUCACCCCUUCUAAAGCACUGAGGGUGGGGUUUGUUGGGGGACCCCGUUGACCAGGUGUUCCUCCUCUCGUCUCUCAGCAUUCCCGCAUUGGCGUUCAAGAUCUUCGAGAUUUGUGGGAUAAGAUGCGCCUGUGACUUACGCCAGCUAAAUGCCAGCGAGGGUGACAGGCUUGGGAGAUCGAGAUGUGAUUAAUUCAAACUUCCCGUUCCUCUCAUAUUUCACUCUGUAAAAGUCUGGAGCCUC
This is a long non-coding RNA of Choloepus didactylus (southern two-toed sloth), 732 nucleotides long. RefSeq lists it as uncharacterized. The transcript is spliced from 3 exons. The record is from RefSeq and is a predicted model, not a curated record. NCBI's taxonomy places the organism in Eukaryota, Metazoa, Chordata, Mammalia, Pilosa, Megalonychidae.